This 254-nucleotide ribosomal RNA is filed under the name uncultured bacterium. RNAcentral describes it as "partial 16S ribosomal RNA". It matches the Rfam family "Bacterial small subunit ribosomal RNA", at positions 524 to 776 of the family's 1533-position model. The record is from RNAcentral.
GACGAACCGUGCGAACGUUAUUCGGAAUCACUGGGCUUAAAGCGCGUGUAGGCGGGGCGGCACGUCGGCCGUUGAAAUCCCCCGGCUCAACCGGGGAAGGGGCGCCGAUAUGACCGCCCUCGGGGAACGUAGGGGGAGCUGGAACUUCCGGUGGAGCGGUGAAAUGCGUUGAGAUCGGAAGGAACGCCCGUGGCGAAAGCGAGCUCCUGGACGUUUUCUGACGCUGAGACGCGAAAGCCAGGGGAGCGAACGGG